Molecule: non-coding RNA, 114 nt
Organism: Parastrongyloides trichosuri
Lineage: Eukaryota; Metazoa; Nematoda; Chromadorea; Rhabditida; Strongyloididae
Source: Rfam
GUUGGGUAUGGAGAUUUGGUACCGACGGGAACAUAUGGAAAAUUAGUGGGAUCUCUAUGUGCUUUAUUGGGUGUUUUAACAUUAGCUUUACCUGUACCUAUUAUUGUAGCUAAU